This 414-nucleotide ribosomal RNA is filed under the name Leptopelis gramineus (Ethiopian burrowing tree frog). RNAcentral describes it as "partial large subunit ribosomal RNA". It matches the Rfam family "Bacterial large subunit ribosomal RNA", at positions 1954 to 2534 of the family's 2925-position model. Lineage: Eukaryota; Metazoa; Chordata; Amphibia; Anura; Arthroleptidae. The record is from RNAcentral.
AGGUAGCAUAAUCACUUGUUUCUUAAAUAGAGACUAGUAUCAACGGCAUCACGAAGACUAUACUGUCUCCCCCCUAAAAUCAAUGAAACUGAUCUCCUCGUGAAGAAGCGAGGAUAUACAUAUAAGACGAGAAGACCCCAUGGAGCUUUAAACGAACUUCAAUUGUUCCUAUCCAUAACAUACAAAUUGAACACCCCCUGAUAGUUAGUUUUAGGUUGGGGUGACCGCGGAGUAAAACAAAACCUCCACAAUGAAUGUAGUAAAAUUCUUAUAAAAGAACCACAAUUCUAAUAAUCAAAAAUUUGACAUAAAUUGACCCAAACACUUGAUCAAUGAACCAAGUUACCCUGGGGAUAACAGCGCAAUCCAUUUUAAGAGCCCAUAUCGACAAAUGGGUUUACGACCUCGAUGUUG